This 356-nucleotide long non-coding RNA is filed under the name Homo sapiens (human). Its description in RNAcentral is "non-protein coding LINC00221:7". Lineage: Eukaryota; Metazoa; Chordata; Mammalia; Primates; Hominidae. The record is from RNAcentral.
AGACCCGGAUGCCGGCGAGGUCCUGGCUGGGAGAGGCCGCCGCUGCCUUCAGGUUUCCGAGACAAUGGAGACUCUGAGAACAUCCAGAAAUAUCCACAGGACUGGCGAGGCUGUGGGCUUUCAACCACCACGAGAGGCUGUUUGCAUAUGAUUCUUCUAAAAUUGACAUCAGUGAAAUGCCUUGAAGAUAAUAAAGUGUUGAAGAAAUAAACAAAAUCAGAAUAUAUGGGAUCAGUUAGAAAGCUCUUAUUUAAGAAACAUGGAGGAUAUGAGAGCAAGCAAUGAAGUAAUGUUACAAAAUGACAUAUUUGAGUAGUUCAUACUGGUGGAAUUUUCCUGGCACUCUCAUGAGUUGA